Molecule: transfer RNA, 92 nt
Filed under: Asanoa ferruginea
Lineage: Bacteria; Bacillati; Actinomycetota; Actinomycetes; Micromonosporales; Micromonosporaceae
Description: tRNA-Asp
Source: RNAcentral
UGUCGGGAUCGCCCGGGUUGUCGGUGACGGCGUUGUCGGCGUCGUGGAAGGUGACUUCGCCGUCGAACAGCGGUGCCGUCCGCUCCCACCAC